GCUUUUCUCUUUUUUCUUUCUCGGCGUCCUGCUUCACUCCGAACCGGCUGGAAAGCGCGGCCAG
This 64-nucleotide microRNA precursor is filed under the name Bos taurus (domestic cattle). RNAcentral's name for it is "partial microRNA mir-2445". The record is from RNAcentral. Lineage: Eukaryota; Metazoa; Chordata; Mammalia; Artiodactyla; Bovidae.